CUACCGACAUCGGGAGGUGUCGGGAUGGGUAUGUAGAAGUCAGCCGAAGCCGUAGUAGUGAUGGGAAACCGCCAGCAUGAAGGGC
Molecule: non-coding RNA, 85 nt
Organism: Pantoea sp. PSNIH2
Lineage: Bacteria; Pseudomonadati; Pseudomonadota; Gammaproteobacteria; Enterobacterales; Erwiniaceae
Source: Rfam